GGAGAGAGAAGUUCUUGGAGAGAGAUUUUUUUUCAGACGAUGAGGGCAGGAAGAUCUUAGAGAGAGAGAGAGAGUCCAAUGGCAGGCAAGACGGAACACGGUCAUCUCGAAAACAGGUCUGCUCUUCGUCGUGCCUAGGCCAUUAGGUCUUUGUUGGAACUGUGCGGAUCGAUUUGUACUUAAAUUGUAGCGAGAUUGGAAAUGCUCGUAAGGUGUUUGAUGAAAUGGAGGUUAAGGAUGCAAUCACUUUUACCGCGAUGAUUUCAGGUCAUUGCAGAAUUGGUGAAUUGAGUUUUUCUCAAGAACUCUUUGAUGCCAUGCCUGAGAUAAACACAGCUUCAUGGAAUGCUUUGAUUGAUGGCUAUUUAAAGGGUGGUGAUAUAGAAAAGGCGGCUUCGCUCUUUGAUGAAAUGAGUCAUAAGGAUUUGGUUUCUUGGACCACCAUGACCUCGAGAUUUUCAAAAAAUGGAAGGUUUAAAGAGGCAGCUGUGUUCAAAGAGAUGGAGGCCCAAGUUGUGAGCCCUGAUGCAGUAACCAUGGCUACAAUGAUCUAAGCUUGCGCACACCGGGGGCCUUGAUUUAGAGAGAGAGAUACAUAAAUAUGUUAGCUGAAAUGGUUUCAAUCUUGAUGUCUUUAUAGGAUCCUCUUUGAUCGAUACGUAUGCAAAACAUUCUCAGGCGUAAGAAUUGUAUCUCAUUGUCUGCAAUGCUAGUCUUUUUUACUUUCUUGUGAUCGUAAUAACAAAUAUGUUUUUCUUACUUUUAA
This is a long non-coding RNA of Amborella trichopoda, 766 nucleotides long. RefSeq lists it as uncharacterized. Lineage: Eukaryota; Viridiplantae; Streptophyta; Magnoliopsida; Amborellales; Amborellaceae. The record is from RefSeq and is a predicted model, not a curated record.